This 724-nucleotide ribosomal RNA is filed under the name Staphylococcus pseudintermedius. RNAcentral's name for it is "partial 23S ribosomal RNA". It matches the Rfam family "Bacterial large subunit ribosomal RNA", at positions 380 to 1105 of the family's 2925-position model. Lineage: Bacteria; Bacillati; Bacillota; Bacilli; Caryophanales; Staphylococcaceae. The record is from RNAcentral.
CGAAAACGAAUUCUCUCUUGAGUGGAUCCUGAGUACGACGGAGCACGUGAAAUUCCGUCGGAAUCUGGGAGGACCAUCUCCUAAGGCUAAAUACUCUCUAGUGACCGAUAGUGAACCAGUACCGUGAGGGAAAGGUGAAAAGUACCCCGGAAGGGGAGUGAAAGAGAACUUGAAACCGUGUGCUUACAAGUAGUCAGAGCCCGUUAAUGGGUGAUGGCGUGCCUUUUGUAGAAUGAACCGGCGAGUUACGAUCUGAUGCAAGGUUAAGCAGAAAAUGUGGAGCCGUAGCGAAAGCGAGUCUGAAUAGGGCGAAUGAGUAUUUGGUCGUAGACCCGAAACCAGGUGAUCUACCCUUGGUCAGGUUGAAGUUCAGGUAACACUGAAUGGAGGACCGAACCGACUUACGUUGAAAAGUGAGCGGAUGAACUGAGGGUAGCGGAGAAAUUCCAAUCGAACUUGGAGAUAGCUGGUUCUCUCCGAAAUAGCUUUAGGGCUAGCCUCAAGUGAUGAUUAUUGGAGGUAGAGCACUGUUUGGACGAGGGGCCCCUCUCGGGUUACCGAAUUCAGACAAACUCCGAAUGCCAAAUAAUUUAACUUGGGAGUCAGAAUGUGGGUGAUAAGGUCCAUAUUCGAAAGGGAAACAGCCCAGACCACCAGCUAAGGUCCCAAAAUAUAUGUUAAGUGGAAAAGGAUGUGGCGUUGCCCAGACAACUAGGAUGUUGGC